Callithrix jacchus (white-tufted-ear marmoset) is the source of this 970-nucleotide long non-coding RNA. RefSeq lists it as uncharacterized. NCBI's taxonomy places the organism in Eukaryota, Metazoa, Chordata, Mammalia, Primates, Cebidae. The record is from RefSeq and is a predicted model, not a curated record.
CCUGUGAGGGCAGAGGAGGAGAGAGGACAGGCCACUGAUGGCCUUGGCCAUGAACUGCUAUGGGGUAAAGCUACCUCUGACUGCCCAGCCCUUCUGCCACAGGAGGAGAGUGGCAGCCACCCUACUGUCGUGCUCUCAGGGACUAAUAGCAGGUCACCAUGGAAGGGACCCUAAGAACAGAGCGAUGCCAGCUCUCACCCUCAGCAUCUGCUCAAGCCAGGCACUGUGAUGGGCAACUUCCAUGUGCUGCUUCAGUGCGGCCUGCCAUCCAUGUACUGACUGCCCUGAGUCCGGAGUCAGUUCAGGAGUGGAGAGUGAGUGCAGAGAAGCUUUCACAGCCAUCUGACCUGGCCACAGCCUGUCUCCAAGUGUGUCCCCGGUGCAACCAAAGCAUCCCUCCGUGACAGAACGAUUUUUUAAAAGCCGUUCUUUCACCACAGCAGGUCCUUCUGACCCCUGGCCUGAGACACCCAUGGACCUCCAGACUCAAGGCUGUGCUUAACCCUGCAGCUUCCACUUCCCUGCUCCUAUGAAAUGCCUGCAAGUGCAAGACACAAGGAGCCUGCACCUGCGUCCUUGACACUCCUCGCCAGGAGUGCCCUCUUCAAGGCCUCCAGUGACCACCUGUGUGGAUUCAGUUGCCUUUCCCUAAUCCUCCUCCUCUUGGAGCCAUUUAGGCUCAACCUGUGAGACUGGUCGUCUCCCUCUUCCUCACACUUCUGUUUCAUUUCAUGGUAACUAUCACAGGAUUCUUUCAAUGUUUAGUUUUUUAAAACUAUUUCACUUUAUUUUACUAACAAUUUUACAGAUUACAUGUUCAAUGUUUUCCUACAUUUGCAAAUUUAAUGACUGGUAACAUGUUUAUACAUUUUGCACUUAAAAUGUAUCAAGUAUUUGGUUUUACUGUUUUCCAUUUUUUACUGAAGGAAUGUGGAAUACUUUUAAAUUAAAAAAACACUGAUGUUGGCCA